This 506-nucleotide unclassified non-coding RNA is filed under the name uncultured Entrophospora. RNAcentral describes it as "SSU rRNA". It matches the Rfam family "Eukaryotic small subunit ribosomal RNA", at positions 591 to 1092 of the family's 1831-position model. Lineage: Eukaryota; Fungi; Glomeromycota; Glomeromycetes; Entrophosporales; Entrophosporaceae. The record is from RNAcentral.
CCAAUAGCGUAUAUUAAAGUUGUUGCAGUUAAAAAGCUCGUAGUUGAAUUUCGGGAUUGACACAUCGGUCGUGCCUUAAGGGGUAUGAACUGGUGUAGUCAAUUUCUCACCUUCUGGAGAACCGCGAUGCCCUUAAUUGGGUGUCACGGGGAACCAGGAUCUUUACUUUGAAAAAAUUAGAGUGUUUAAAGCAGGCAUUUUGCUUGAAUACAUUAGCAUGGAAUAAUAAAAUAGGACGGGAUGAUUCUAUGUUGUUGGUUUCUAGGAGCACCGUAAUGAUUAAUAGGGAUAGGUGGGGGCAUUAGUAUUCAAUUGUCAGAGGUGAAAUUCUUGGAUUUAUUGAAGACUAACUACUGCGAAAGCAUUUGCCAAGGAUGUUUUCAUUAAUCAAGAACGAAAGUUAGGGGAUCGAAGACGAUCAGAUACCGUCGUAGUCUUAACCAUAAACUAUGCCGACUAGGAAUCAGACGAUGUUAAUUUUUUAAUGACUCGUUUGGCACCUUACA